Molecule: transfer RNA, 72 nt
Filed under: Pedobacter cryoconitis
Lineage: Bacteria; Pseudomonadati; Bacteroidota; Sphingobacteriia; Sphingobacteriales; Sphingobacteriaceae
Description: tRNA-Arg
Rfam family: tRNA
About the family: Transfer RNA (tRNA) molecules are approximately 80 nucleotides in length. Their secondary structure includes four short double-helical elements and three loops (D, anti-codon, and T loops). Further hydrogen bonds mediate the characteristic L-shaped molecular structure. tRNAs have two regions of fundamental functional importance: the anti-codon, which is responsible for specific mRNA codon recognition, and the 3' end, to which the tRNAs corresponding amino acid is attached (by aminoacyl-tRNA synthetases). tRNAs cope with the degeneracy of the genetic code in two manners: having more than one tRNA (with a specific anti-codon) for a particular amino acid; and 'wobble' base-pairing, i.e. permitting non-standard base-pairing at the 3rd anti-codon position.
Source: RNAcentral
GGUCCCGUAGUUCAACGGAUAGAAUAGAAGUUUCCUAAACUUGAGAUAUGAGUUCGAUUCUCGUCGGGACCA